UUUCAUCCAAUAUGGUACUUUUAACUUACACUUGACAAAUCAACAUUCUCCCCCUUGAACGUGAGACUCUCUGCGUUUUUGAUUCAACACUAGGAUCCACUCUCACUCCCCCACCAUCUUGAACUAGGCUUUGAUACUGUUGUUGGGAAUUCCUGGGGAGCCUUAAACACUAAGGUCGAUCAAUACAUCGAGCUAGAGCAAUCACAUAUGUUAGUUUUGAACACCAGAUUUUCACC
This 236-nucleotide long non-coding RNA is filed under the name Medicago truncatula (barrel medic). RNAcentral describes it as "long non-coding RNA (MTRU_LNC007840)". Lineage: Eukaryota; Viridiplantae; Streptophyta; Magnoliopsida; Fabales; Fabaceae. The record is from RNAcentral.